This is a small nucleolar RNA of Fukomys damarensis (Damara mole-rat), 119 nucleotides long. Its record names the gene SNORA70. It matches the Rfam family "Small nucleolar RNA SNORA70". From Rfam's summary of the family: snoRNA U70 seems to be exclusive to mammals and is a member of the H/ACA class of snoRNA which contain H (ANANNA) and ACA box motifs. H/ACA box snoRNAs are involved in the conversion of uridines to pseudouridines (5-ribosyluracil) a constituent of structural RNAs (transfer, ribosomal, small nuclear, and small nucleolar). Lineage: Eukaryota; Metazoa; Chordata; Mammalia; Rodentia; Bathyergidae. The record is from Ensembl.
CUCUAGCAAAGUAAGUUUCUUUACUUGUGGAUGCACAGUGGCUUCACACAGCAACUCCUUUAGUUGUGUACACAGACUAUUGUUUGUAUGGGUCGCCCUAAGGGACCUUAAAGAAGUUU